Molecule: ribosomal RNA, 324 nt
Filed under: Actinacidiphila epipremni
Lineage: Bacteria; Bacillati; Actinomycetota; Actinomycetes; Kitasatosporales; Streptomycetaceae
Description: Streptomyces sp. PRB2-1 partial 23S ribosomal RNA
Rfam family: Bacterial large subunit ribosomal RNA
Source: RNAcentral
AGUGGACGCGAGCAUCUGUGGCCAAGUUUUUAAGGGCGCACGGUGGAUGCCUUGGCACCAGGAACCGAUGAAGGACGUGGGAGGCCGCGAUAGGCCCCGGGGAGCUGUCAACCGAGCUGUGAUCCGGGGGUGUCCGAAUGGGGAAACCCGGCAGUCGUCAUGGGCUGUCACCUACUGCUGAACACAUAGGCAGUGUGGAGGGAACGCGGGGAAGUGAAACAUCUCAGUACCCGCAGGAAGAGAAAACAACCGUGAUUCCGGGAGUAGUGGCGAGCGAAACCGGAUGAGGCUAAACCGUAUGUGUGUGAUACCCGGCAGGGGUUG